GAGGGAGAGAAGGAAGGAAAGAAGGAAAGAAGAGAGGCAGGAAGGCCAGUCAGCCCUAAUACUGCUAGCUAAUUCCUAUGGUGUCAAUGCUUCCCUCAGAGUGGAUCUUAAGCCACCAGUGUGAGAUUCUUGGAUGGGCCCUGACAGAGAUGUGAAAACCAGGAACCAGCUCCACAUCCCCGGGGCCGUGGAAACUCUCCACCUCUCUACACGCACACAGCAAGGCCUUCUGGGAUUCCUAUGGCACUGUCAAGGCUGGAGGCAGGGUGGACUGAGGAUCAAGACCUGGAUAAACUCGUCACAGUGGACUUAGAGAUAGUGUUGGGGACAUCAGACCUGCCCUUCCUUCCUGAGAACAGGUGGUUCUACCAGGUGAAGAGUACCCACUGCUGCCAUCCUGGCUAGAACCCUGAGAAUCAGCUCUGAACCUGACCAGUCAGCUCUCAGGCCGUGGAGUCUGGUCCUCUCUCCACACCCACAGCUUUUAGUUUGUCCUUCAUCCUUCUUUUGAAAACUCCAGCCUCAGGACCAGGCCAUCUGUGCCCUAUGCCACACCCCCCCCUCAAGUAUCUUCAGUGGACAUCAAAAGGUUUCUCCCAACCCCCAGGAUUUCUUGAGAGUCUGGAAAGAAGAACACGAGGCCUUGGGGGCAGCAUUCAAAGCCUUCCACACUACCCCCACCAUCUCUAGUCAUCUCUGUCUAAACCUGCUCUGUUCAGCAUGACAGCCAUCAGCUCUGUGUGGCUAUUUACACUGCAAUGGGUCAAAAUGAAAUGAAGUGGAAAAUUCAAUUUCUUGGCUGUACUAGUCUCGUCUCAUCUCAAGGACUCAAUAUCCACUUAGGACUGGCAGCUAUAGCGCCAGGCAACACAGAUGCAGAACUCUCCAGUGUUCCAGAAAGUUCUAUUGGGCAGCAUGAAGCAUUGUGCGGGGCUUGCCUCCCUGCCUUGCUCAAUGUGGCCUCUGUUCAGGGUACUCAUAUGACUCAGAGGUCACCUGUCCUGAGAGCCCAGCUCCCCAGCUCUCCCCUGCGGUCGGACAUUCCUCUGUGCAGGGCCCAGCCUUGCACUGUGGUGGCAAAUGCACCCCCCCCCCCCCCUUAGAGAUAGGGUCUCAGAUAGCCCGGGUUAGCCUGGAGCAGAGAAUAACCUUGGACUUCUCAUCCUCCUGUAGGUGUGUAACACCACACCCAAACUAAGUGAUGCUGGGAAUCGAACCCAGAGCUUCAGGCAUGCUAGGCGAGCAUCCUAUUAACUGAGCCAGAAUUCCAAGCUCCACACACUGUCAGUCUUUCUUACUAGAUCUUGGGCUCUUGAGGGCAGGGACCAUGCCCUGGAGCUGUUCCCAUCCUCAGUACCUAGGACAGGGCCAGGCAUGCCUAACUUCUGACUUUGGCCAGGUGAACUUGCCCAGAGACCAGGACCUUGGAAUGGUCUGAGUUCCCCGAUGCUGGGAUGGGAGGAGCCAGCUGUGACAUUGACAGGAGAUACAGAGAUAGGGAGAACAGCCUAGAAGGACCCAGCGCUGGGACCAAUAUACAGCCCUGGAAACAGCUGGCCCCAAACCCUGGAGCGCACAGGGUGGGUGCAGGGCAUAGAAGGACCCGAGUUUCAUUUCUCACUCCUCCGUCUUCUCCAGCCCAGGAUCAGAUAGUUUUGGGUGAGAAAGUUGGCUCAGUCACCAACUAGCUUGUGUCUCACCACGGUGUCAUCUAACCUCUCUGAGCCCCAGGGCCUUCAUCUGCAAAAUGGGGAUAAAUCCUAGGUCCUACGGAGGGGAGUCCAAAGUGAUGUAUGAUGUAUUUAAACCUCUGGAACACAUAACCUGGCACUCACAGGGUGCCUGGGAUGCUGUCACUGUGUCCCAUCUGAGGCUCCUGCCACUGCUUCAUGUUCUGGUUCCAUGCUGUGCCCAGGCAGCCCCUCCCUGCUUCCUGAGAUGGCAGAAGCAGGAAGGGGUGGGAGGGACCAUCUGCUCCAACCCCUGCCAUUGCCAGGACGGGAAGCAAAUCUAAGGGAAGGGACUGACUGGCCCAUGGCCAUACAGCUUGCCAGGGGAGAGUAAGCCAGAGAACACACUCUUAGUUGAGAGGCCAGUUAGCAAACAGGAAACUGUCAAUAAACUCCUAGGUGACAGAGCAGCCACAGAGGAAAAACAGGGUGAACAUAGCUGCCCUGGAUGCAAAGCUAUUAAGAGACAGAGACAAGGUUCUGGGUGACUCCAAAAACAUGUUCAAGACCCCUUGAGCUCUCUGUUCCCUUUAUUCAACAGCAACGAAUUCCGAGCACCCUCUGAAUAUCAGGUUUGUGUGAUCAUCCUAACCAGAGAGAUAUAGUCCCUAAACUUCUAAUAGUCUGCAGCUAGUUGUAGAGGCAAAACCUCCAAUGGGUGUCAGGGGAAGCAUGGGGUCUGCCUGGGAUCCAGUUCAGCCAUCACCGCUUGGCCAUGUCGGUAGCACCGCCCUUCAUCUUGGGUCUCUAACCUGUCUAUAACAGCACAGGCCUUGGAAGGAUGCUGGGACCAUUAAAUAGUGAGGCUCCUGACAUGACACCCUGCACAGGGUAAGCUCAAUCUAAGAUGCUACUGUCAUGGUUGUGGAGUCCUGUCCUCCAGGCACGCCAUGGCCACCCCAUCUCAAAAGCAGAGUAGCUGUGACUACCUGGUCAAGUUUGGGAGGUUAACAGUCCCUCCCAAAAGCAGGAAAGGUGUUAUCAGACCCUCAUUGAGAUUCUGGCCACCCAAUACCGACUGCUUCCCCUGCCGGAUUAACCCAGCCACAGCCUUGAGAGUAUAUAGGAGGUGAGAAGUUAACUGAAAGGGGAGAGCCACAAGCCAUUUGUGUGCUUUGUCACCUAUGCUAGAGUGUCCUUUUCCACGACAGGGCUCUGAGAGCUACCCAUGUCUCUAGAAGCAACCUCUCACCCAGUCUCCUGUAAGGAGCCCUAGUAGCAGUCUAGUUGGUUCGCCAAGCUGGACCUGGGUGCAGUCACUUCUCUGGCUUGCCAUUGCCCUCUCUGUCCAGGAUCACCAGGAAAAGUCAGGCGAUAAGCCACCCUAAGACCGAGAGAAACAGGACCUUGGAACACAGAGAACACUGGGGUCUGACUUCAUUUCUGAUGGAAGGGCACAGAAGGCAGGUGACAGGGCUCUUCUGGCCAUUUCAAGUGGUAAGGACUGGUCAGGCAGGAAGUGGCCAGAGUCAGGCAGGUGACAAGUGAGUAGAGGUCAGAAACCGGAAAGGCUGGCUAGGGCUGGCUGGGCUAGAGUGGAGGCCUUGGGUGUCAGCUGGGGGUGGGGGGUAGCUGGACUCCUCAGGGCCCAUCAGAGCUGGGCCAUGGCAGGAGAGUGAGUGAAAGAGCAUCUUAUAGGACCACAUAUGCACACAGCUGUACAGUUCUAUCAGCUGCCAGGCCUCGGGGCGCUUCACCUACUUGGAAGGAUCAGUACAGAGGCAGUGAUUAUGGGGGGCCAGACACCUCUGCUACAAGGUUGUCCUUCUUCCUGACCCUGGCGGGAGAUGCUAUAGGCACCAUCUUGACUGUGGCUUCAGGGACCCUUCUCUCAUCUCUAUGGAGUCGAACCUCCAUGUGAGAAUCCUGGGUCAGAAUCCUGGCCCUGCUCGCCUCUUUUCCUACCCAGGGUAGACUUGUUUCAUUCCUUCUUCCUUCCUCCCAGGCCCUCACCUGGGUGCUCCAGUUUCUCCUGGCAGCCACGAGUGCUUCCCCGGCAUGGUUGUUUUUGAGGCCAAGCCCUCAUAGUCCUUGACAAUACAGCUGCUUCCUCGUCCUAGGGCCUCCCACAGAUGGCCACGCACACUGCUCCAGGUAUAUAAUUGACAGGCCACACCGGUUUGCUCACACCUGUCCUUGGUUCCUCAGCAUCUUCAGGAUCAACACCUAAUCCUUGGAGCCUGCCCACCCCUGUGCCACCACAGCCAGAUCCAGAGCCCAUCUAAAGCAAGUUAAGCCACUUUCCCAUCUUCACGCCCGUCCCCAACAACAUCUUCAUGUGUGCCCACACAUCUGUGCCCCUGGCCAUAUUCAUGACCCAAAUUCAAGGUCCAGUUGACUUCCUUAUUGGGUCACCUAAGCACAGAUUCUGUACCUCGGUUUCCUUAUUUGUAAAUGAGGCAAUGGUUGUGAGUAUUAAGAGAGAAGGAAGAGGAGGAUGUGUGCCCGGUCCCUUCACAGUGCACCGGCAGUGGCUGUGGAUAAGUUCCUUUUUUUUCUGCUCAUGCCCUUUCUGUCUUGGCCUGGAUUGCUUUAGUGAGUUGGGUAGACCUUGGAAAUAGCUACCAAUCUACGAGGGGGCCUGACUCCCAGAACCAUGGAAGGGCCAGGAUCAGAGAGCUAUAUCCUGAGUUCAACACAGGACCCUCAGCAGGCACAUAGCCAUGAGGCCAGGACAAAACAUUAAAGUCAGUCUUGAAUCCAAAUUUGAUCCCACCUCCAAAUCCUCCAUGCCCACCCUGUGUCCGGCAGAAUUCAAGGUAAGGUGGUCAGCUAGGCUAUGUAUGACCUUGGACCCAAUAUGUACAGAGCUCUGCCAAACCUGGUUCCCUAUAUAAAAUGGGGAGAGGGUGUCUGAAGCCCUAGUAAUUUUGGUUGCUCCUGGAGGCCACAGUGAGGCCUGAUGAAGAGGCUGGAGCUUCCAGCUCUUCCCCCUGUUUGUAGGGAGGACUCAGGCGAGUUCCCAGGCUCGCAGCCUCAGGGAGUGACUGAAUAGUGCAGCUGUCCCUUGACCCUCUCAGGGUGUACAGACAGGAAGGGCUGUCUCAAGGGACCGUGCCCAUCACACAGUACCAGGUAAUUCACUCUGCUUUUUAGAGGUGGCAUUUUUGUCACCGUCGGCCUUGUCAUCAGACCACUUUGGUUCCAGAAAAUAAUGUUUUGGGGGCUUCAACUUCAACCCCCAGCUCUCUCCCCUAUGACCUAUGCUAUGGAUGAGACAUCCCUGGCUGCCCAGACAUCUUCAAGGAGAAGCGCCGCAGCCAGCUCACCCUCUUACAGGCUGCUGUGUGCAUAAGAACCUGUGCUUCCCUAGGAAACGGGAUUGCAGAGCGCCAUUUCCCCAGGACAGAAACAUUCAUCCGUCUCUCUGACCAGGAUACCCCUAGGGAUACGAGUGACUCUUUCUUUACAUGGACGGUGAACAGACUUGCUCUGGCUCUCAUUUCUUAGAUCAGGAAGAGGGCUCAGAAAAGCCCACGCCUUUCACCCUGCAGGAAAAGUCAGAGCAAAGAUUUGGGCCCUACCAUCCCCAACCUUACUCUCCCCUCCUGGGGCUGCCUCAUGGCUCUCAUUCCUGUGCCCAGCCUGUCAGGCUCCCAUCCAAGGCUCAGCCCUGAUGCCUUUGUUGGCACUGAGGCACGCCUUAGGAAAGGCUCCAGUGAUCACAUGAGGCCUGGGGAGGGAGGCUCGGAUGAAUCGGAUCCUCUCUCUGGGGGUCAGGAACUUGAGAUGGCUUGGGAGCCGGAUGCUUGAUCAGAGUGACACCCCAGCCACCUGCCCUUGUGGCGUCAGCUGGCACCAACAGACUGUGCCCCUAGUCUGGUCUCGUGCUAAGUGCUCUUGACACAAAAACCAAGCGGGAUGGGUAGGAGACAAUUCUGGAUGAUAAAGGGGAGGCCAGGGAAUGGCCUUCGGAGGCACCAGAGAGGCCGUAUGUGGCCCAAGUUGGACAGGUCCCAAGUCCUGACCCUGACACUCACUAUCACUUAGCUUGUGAGCCUGCCUCCAUUUACUAGAGAAUAAAUCUCAGCAGUCCACACAGCAGGUGCUGUGAAAGAUUAUGCGAGGCAUUACAAGGACAGCUGGGGGCAGCCCUUGGCUCAUGGACCCCAAACUCUUUGGAGAUGGUCUCCUCCCUCUCUUCUCUUCGCUCUGUGGUCCAGGUGCUCAGCAGUAGCUGGGGGUGGGGUGGGGGGCAUGCAUGUGCACUUGUGUGUGUGUAUGCGCACACGCACGCGCGCACACACACACACAGAUUUCUACACAACUAUACAGUAAUUCUACUCAUGCUUAGCCUCAGGUAGGAUGAGGGGUAUUUGGCUUUUUAUGUCAUAUUGUCCCACUUUCUAUGUAAACAUAGUCAUUAGAAUAAACACAGAUGUCCAAAAGUUAUGGUUGCUGACUGUGCCAGCCACAGUUCUCCUCGGCGCUUUGGAUCAAGAACUAUUAACCCUUACAUCACCUUCCCUGGAAAUGUAAUUGGUGACACGAGGAGACUCAGACUACUGAGAUGAUUUGACUGCUGAACUCACGCAGCACACCAGGGUGCAGAGCCCCUGCCCUCCAGCAUCUAUGGCACAGAGCAGUUCUGCGCAGCAGGUCAAGGGGCCAGAGGCUCAGAGGUAGCAAGUCAUUUCCCUAAGGUCACACAGCCAGCAGAUGGCAGGGCCAGGGUGGAACAGCCUGCUGAUGAAGACAAAGCUACUACUAAUCUCUGCACUCUGUAGCCUCCAAGCUUUGGAAUAAAGGUAAAAGCUGCAGGCCUAAUUCUGGGUAGGGGGCCUGGAGACCCCAGAUGUGUAUGAGCCUGGACUCCUCUGCCUUCAAGACCCCGGGGCAAGUCCCCUCCCCCACUCUACCGGUUCUCCAUCUGUCAAGUGUGCUCUGUACCAGAUGAUCUCCAAGGCUUUGGCAGCGUCUCCGUCAUUCCCCAGGAUAGGGGCCUCAGCACAGGCUCCAGCAGCCACCAGCGCUGCUAGAGGGAUGAGCAGACCUUGAGGGUGGAGGUUGCCCCAUCCCCAGCAGCUAAUGAGCCUAGGAGAGGCAGAAGGGGGUGGAGUGUGGCCUGAACCCCACCUCUCAGCAUAGCCUCCCGAAAGGGAGGCAAGUUUCUCUGCCAGCACCUGCCUAAGUCCAAAGGGGUUCAUUGAGGCAAGUCUCUUCCUCAGGUGAGAGAGAUGAGGCUAGCCAGCAGGGUACAGGGGUUCUGGAAAGAUCUUGGGAGGAGGAAGGAUGGCAAUAGGAACUGCUGAUGCUCCCACCCUACACACUUCAGAUAAGGUCUUCCCAGGGCAGCCUCAUCAAAGUCCAGGCAGGAGAGUAGGUAUUUAAAUUCCUGAUUAAAUAUCUUGAGGGACAUAGAACUCACCACUCACAGGUUAGUGACUCUAUUUCUUAUUCUUUUUUUUUUAUAUAUAUAUGAAAAACAUCUUCCACUUUGGAAUCCUCCAGCUGGGGUGAACUUAGACCAAGUUUGGUCAUUCAUUCAUUCAUUCAUUCAUUCAAGUUUUAUUGAUAGGUCCUGUGGGCUAAGCCUGUGCCAGUUUGGGGACAAUAAACAUGCCAGGGAAAAAGCUGUUGCUACCUUGAGGUAUUGUCUAUGACUGGUAUCCCAAAGCCAGGGAAGAGACUGGCUGGGCUGAAACUGCUCAGCUUGAGAAAAGAAGUCAAAGACGCUUGAGCAUCAUUAAAUAGGCUUUAGUGGGUAUCCUCCCACCAAGAUUGUGUAACAGAAUUCCACCAGGUGACUGUGUUACUGAGAAUCCUCUAGUGGGGAGGAUUUGGAAGAUAUGCUGCAUUAUCCGAUUAAAGCGGAUCGUGGAAUGCUUCUCCUUAGAGUCCCACCCCUGAGGCGGCAACAUCACCGUCCUCAGCAGCUAAGAGCUCUUGCUGAGGGCCUGGGUUUGAUUCCCAGCACCCACGGUGGUGACUCACAAUCGUGUGUAACUCCAGGUCCACAGGAUCUGAUGCCCUCCUCUGGCCUCUUGGUGCGCAUGCACAUGGUGCACAUGCAGGCAAGAUACUUGCACACAG
Molecule: long non-coding RNA, 7763 nt
Organism: Mus musculus (house mouse)
Lineage: Eukaryota; Metazoa; Chordata; Mammalia; Rodentia; Muridae
Product: predicted gene, 54259
Exons: 2
Source: RefSeq, a predicted model, not a curated record